This 594-nucleotide ribosomal RNA is filed under the name uncultured fungus. RNAcentral describes it as "eukaryotic LSU rRNA". It matches the Rfam family "Eukaryotic large subunit ribosomal RNA", at positions 23 to 641 of the family's 3401-position model. The record is from RNAcentral. Lineage: Eukaryota; Fungi.
ACCCGCUGAACUUAAGCAUAUCAAUAAGCGGAGGAAAAGAAACCAACAGGGAUUGCCCUAGUAACGGCGAGUGAAGCGGCAAUAGCUCAAAUUUGAAAUCUGGCCCUUUCAGGGUCCGAGUUGUAAUUUGUAGAGGAUGUUUCGGUAUAGGCCCCGGGUUAGGUUCCUUGGAACAGGACGUCAUAGAGGGUGAGAACCCCGUCUUUGCCUGGGAUCCCUUUACCAUGUGAAACUCCUUCGACGAGUCGAGUUGUUUGGGAAUGCAGCUCUAAGUGGGAGGUAAAUUUCUUCUAAAGCUAAAUAACGGCCAGAGACCGAUAGCGCACAAGUAGAGUGAUCGAAAGAUGAAAAGCACUUUGGAAAGAGAGUUAAAAAGCACGUGAAAUUGUUGAAAGGGAAGCUCUUGCUACCAGACUUGCCCGCUGUUGCUCAACCUUUUAGGUGUACUCUUCAGCGGGCAGGCCAGCGUCAGUUUGGGCGGCCGGAUAAAGACCCUAGGAAUGUAGCUCCCCCGGGAGUGUUAUAGCCUAGGGUGUAAUGCGGCCAGCCCGGACUGAGGACCGCGUCUUACUAGGAUGCUGGCGUAAUGGUCGC